This 965-nucleotide ribosomal RNA is filed under the name Weissella viridescens. RNAcentral describes it as "bacterial SSU rRNA". It matches the Rfam family "Bacterial small subunit ribosomal RNA", at positions 8 to 926 of the family's 1533-position model. The record is from RNAcentral. Lineage: Bacteria; Bacillati; Bacillota; Bacilli; Lactobacillales; Lactobacillaceae.
AGAGUUUGAUCCUGGCUCAGGAUGAACGCUGGCGGCGUGCCUAAUACAUGCAAGUCGAACGCUUUGUGGUCCAACUGAUUUGAAGAGCUUGCUCAGAUAUGACGAUGGACAUUGCAAAGAGUGGCGAACGGGUGAGUAACACGUGGGAAACCUACCUCUUAGCAGGGGAUAACACUUGGAAACAAGUGCUAAUACCGUAUAACACUAAUAACCGCAUGGUUAUUAGUUAAAAGAUGGUCUUGCUAUCACUAAGAGAUGGUCCCGCGGUGUAUUAGCUAGUUGGUAAGGUAAUGGCUUACCAAGGCAAUGAUACAUAGCCGAGUUGAGAGACUGAUCGGCCACAAUGGGACUGAGACACGGCCCAUACUCCUACGGGAGGCAGCAGUAGGGAAUCUUCCACAAUGGACGAAAGUCUGAUGGAGCAACGCCGCGUGUGUGAUGAAGGGUUUCGGCUCGUAAAACACUGUUGUAAGAGAAGAAUGACAUUGAGAGUAACUGUUCAGUGUGUGACGGUAUCUUACCAGAAAGGAACGGCUAAAUACGUGCCAGCAGCCGCGGUAAUACGUAUGUUCCAAGCGUUAUCCGGAUUUAUUGGGCGUAAAGCGAGCGCAGACGGUUAUUUAAGUCCGAAGUGAAAGCCCACAGCUUAACUGUGGAAGUGCUUUGGAAACUGGAUAACUUGAGUGCAGUAGAGGAGAGUGGAACUCCAUGUGUAGCGGUGAAAUGCGUAGAUAUAUGGAAGAACACCAGUGGCGAAGGCGGCUCUCUGGACUGUAACUGACGUUGAGGCUCGAAAGUGUGGGUAGCAAACAGGAUUAGAUACCCUGGUAGUCCACACCGUAAACGAUGAGUGCUAGAUGUUUGAGGGUUUCCGCCCUUAAGUGUCGCAGCUAACGCAUUAAGCACUCCGCCUGGGGAGUACGACCGCAAGGUUGAAACUCAAAGGAAUUGACGGGGACCCGCAC